AGAAAAAAUUACUUUUUUAUUUCAACCGCAAAUGUUGGAAAUACAGGACUCAGAGCAGCACAAUACAAAAAGGAAACUACAAAUUAUGUAGGAAAGCACCACGUUAAAUCUAAUUCUCAAUCAACUAUGAGAAGAAAGAAAUUGCACACUGCUUGGAAGUGAAAUUUUAUCCUAAUAAUCCCACAUCGUCUUUCAAGAUCAAUUCAACGGUCAAGUUUCCAAUAAAUUAAAAAGUGUACAACGAAGCUUACAAGGGCCCCAUUCAAGUUCUGCAAUCUAGCUAUCCUGCUGGCCUGUCCAGUAGCUUCUUUGAAAGCAAUUUUAUCUGCAAAAUAUCUCUCAAAUGCAUUUGGUAGGAGGUUUCUCACAAACCUUUCAGCUCUUUUUAUGAACAAAAUACAAUGAGGGCCUGUCUUGUCUCAAAUGGCACAAGCUAGUAUAUCUCAUCG
RNAcentral lists this unclassified non-coding RNA (449 nucleotides) under Hevea brasiliensis (rubber tree). Lineage: Eukaryota; Viridiplantae; Streptophyta; Magnoliopsida; Malpighiales; Euphorbiaceae. The record is from RNAcentral.